This 253-nucleotide ribosomal RNA is filed under the name uncultured bacterium. RNAcentral describes it as "partial 16S ribosomal RNA". It matches the Rfam family "Bacterial small subunit ribosomal RNA", at positions 524 to 776 of the family's 1533-position model. The record is from RNAcentral.
UACAGAGGUCCCAAGCGUUGUUCGGAUUCACUGGGCGUAAAGGGUGCGUAGGUGGCAUGGUAAGUUUGAUGUGAAAGCUCAGGGCUUAACCCUGAAAUGGCAUUGAAUACUACUGUGCUGGAGGUUUGGAGGGGGGACUGGAAUUCUUGGUGUAGCAGUGAAAUGCGUAGAUAUCAAGAGGAACACCAGUGGCGAAGGCGAGUCCCUGGACAACACCUGACACUGAGGCACGAAAGCCGGGGGAGCAAACAGG